This 464-nucleotide ribosomal RNA is filed under the name uncultured bacterium. Its description in RNAcentral is "partial 16S ribosomal RNA". It matches the Rfam family "Bacterial small subunit ribosomal RNA", at positions 339 to 795 of the family's 1533-position model. The record is from RNAcentral.
CUACGGGCGGCACCAGUGGGGAAUUUUGGACAAUGGACGCAAGUCUGAUCCAGCCAUUCCGCGUGCAGGAUGAAGGCCCUCGGGUUGUAAACUGCUUUUGUACGGAACGAAAAGGUCUCUCCUAAUACGAGGGGCUCAUGACGGUACCGUAAGAAUAAGCACCGGCUAACUACGUGCCAGCAGCCGCGGUAAUACGUAGGGUGCAAGCGUUAAUCGGAAUUACUGGGCGUAAAGCGUGCGCAGGCGGUUAUAUAAGACAGAUGUGAAAUCCCCGGGCUCAACCUGGGAACUGCAUUUGUGACUGUAUAGCUAGAGUACGGUAGAGGGGGAUGGAAUUCCGCGUGUAGCAGUGAAAUGCGUAGAUAUGCGGAGGAACACCGAUGGCGAAGGCAAUCCCCUGGACCUGUACUGACGCUCAUGCACGAAAGCGUGGGGAGCAAACAGGAUUAGAUACCCUAGUAGUC